GGCCCCGGCUUCCCCCUGCAGGUUGGCUUUCAGUUUUAAACAGUCCUUUCGCUCCUCCGGCUUUGGGACGUGAGUGAUGAGACCAAGCAGAGAGUGAGAGGUGGAGAAAGACCAGAAGCUCAGAACUGAUGGAGAGUCCGCCACGCCCUCGACCUGGCCUGGAUGGAUAUGAGAUGACCUGUCAUGACUUCUUUUUACAAAGUUAUUUCGUUUUGUCCUGUUUCUUGAGGAGCACUUGGAAAACCCAGAAAAACUGAAAGAAGAAAAUAAUCACUCAUAGCCCCCCCUCCCCAGCUGAAGACAGCCACUCUAAACGUUUGGCACAUUUUCCUCCCAACUUUUACCGAAGUUAAACAGGCAUGAUACGAAUGCCACUGCCAAAAAAGAGGGGAUGCUUCGAAAGUGGUGAGAAAAAUCCCAGCCUGAAGGACUGAAGAGUGGACGAUGGCUCUCCGCUGAAAAAUAUCAACACCUGUUUGCAACCUUUCAGAUUUGUACUUUUGGGGAAUGACGCCCUCUAGAGAUCAGCAGUGAUGAUGCGCCAUCAUUUCGUAGCUACCUGAAUUUCCAGCUAAAUGCAUCCUGAUUCACUGAACAGACAUUUGGUAUUACUCCCUGAUUUUGCUGAGGGCCUGAAACCUAUGGGAGGGAAACCAACCCCUGUCCACAACUGGAGUUCAAAUGUACAUUUACAGCUAUAUCUGUGGGAUGUGAGAUAGGCAUGGAAACUGGAUUGCAGAGAGAGACAACUGGGUCCCUGAGACAAAAUGAAUGUUAGUAGAGAAUGAUUCUGGCAGUGUGGGUGGAAGCAAUGUGAAGUUCAUGAGACGUGCCUGAGACUGCGCUAGACGUGCGUGAGACUGCACCAGAAUCCAUGAAGACUCAGACCCCCUGCCAGCAUACAUGCUUUCUAGUGAAGAGAGGGCUGUGGUGAAACCGCAAAACUGCUUCACACUAUGACCUAGCCCUUUGCCACGGAAUGCUCUCUAGAGCCACCCCUCCCCCUCAAGUUUUGGACACUAGAAGAAGAAAGUGUUUCCACCCCAGCUGGAGGUAAGAGAGUAAUGAACUGCCAAGAUUACAAACGGAGAUGCUGAGGAAACCCUGAAGGCCAAAGUGACAAUGGCACAGAUACAUGGUAUUAUCAGUGGGGAAGCUCCAGCUAAGCACGGGCAUCAAAGCCUCAGAAAUCGAGAAACAGGUGAGAGAAAGCAGGUGAGGCAGAUAACAGCUCUUAAUAUGUAUGAGACAACUAUCUUGGUGGCAGCUAUCUACCCAGUAUCCCUAAGGAUGAAUAUUCAAAGGACACACAGGCUUGUGGGCCGUAGGGAAUUUUCUGGUUUCAGAAAUAAUUUUUGAAACAAAGAUCACUAACCUAUAUCGUCUUUGAGUUUCAUCUCAUCCUUGAGCCUUAUUCUAGAGGGUCAUAGGUGCCCUGGGGUUCAGGAAUAGGGUAAAGAUCAAUAAUGGGGUGAGAACAUUUGUAGUGUGCAUUACUUGGUAAUUUUAAAAAGUGAAAGUUCAAUGGUUUCUUGGGCUUUCAUCAAAAUGACCUCACAAAAAUAACAUGCAAUAAUUAUUCCCCCAGUUCCUUCUCUCUUUCUCCCUCUCUUCCUCUCUCUCUCUCUCUCUGUACUUUUAAAGAACAUUAGGGUUGCAUUGUCUUGUAACUCAGCCUUUUCCCAUUUAAGGUAUCAAAACAUUUUUCUAAAAAUCUAUUAUUUCACAACAUAAUAAAUACUAAAAUUUUAACAAUUAUCCUUUUAGGGUUGAUAGAAAGGAUUUGGGGGAUUUUAUUUUCUUACUUUGUGUUUUCUAAACUUACUAAAGUUAACGUAUUAUCUCUAUGAUUAGAAAACCUUCAACUAUAGAAAAUAAUUUUUUCCAGCACUUUUAUGGUUCAUCCCAUUUCACUAUUUCCUUUUCAAAUUAUUUUCACAGUAUUUUUCAUCCCAGAAUGUAUUUCUAGAAUAAGUUUUGCCUAACUUGCAUGCACACAAACAGAGAGAGGGAGAGGGAGAGAGAGAGAGGGAGGGAGGCAACACUCUGGUGUCUCUUCUUAGAAAGACACUAAUCCUAUCUGAUCAGGGCCCCACCCUGCAUGGCUGUUAGCAUAACUGGGCCAUCUUGGGCCUGUUCAGUUCCUCCUGUCCUUCCACUGACCCUAUGUAGGGCUGUACUGUGUAGUGAAUCUCUUUUCUGUCAUCAAGGGCUUUGUAGUUAUUAGAUAGUGUUUAGUGAUCAUUAGGUCCAGGUAGCCUCUAUGCUCUGUUAGUCCCCAAACGAUGAAAAAUGUUGCUGACUUAUUCCCUGUGCCCUCGAGACUAGUAACCCCUUCAUAAAUCUAGGAGUACACAUCCUGUUUCCAAGCACCUACCCCCAUAACCCUAUAAAAUUGUCCCAAUGGCCCCUCAGCUGUGUGGAGUGCAGCUUUGAAUGCUUCCAGAUUGUUGUCCAACUAAUCACCCCCUGUGCGUAAGUUACCCUAUAAUAAACUGAUCCAUCGAGUGUAUGGAGCUGCCUGCCUCAUUUUUCAGUCUUAAAAUGCAUUCUUAGUUCAGUGGAUACGUUUUGUCCCUUCCGUUCUCCAGCACACCCUAUGACCUCAUUAACCUUAAUUGCCUCCUUAGAAGCCCCUUCUCUGAAUUCACCCAUACUGGGGGUUAGGGCUUCAAUAUAUGAAUUGGGGUGGGGGGAAUGACACAGAUUUCAGUUCAUAGGAAACCCUCUGCACGUAAAUUCAAGAAACAAUGCCACAUCAUCAGGUUUCAGAGUACACAUCCUAACAACACUUGGUAAUUAGUUAUCUACAUCAUGUAGCCUUUCAUAGUGGUCAUAGUUCCUCUUGUUCUUGUACUGAAUUUAUUUCAUUGUUCUUAACUUUUUAAGAUUUUAAUCUGAUGUCUUGAUAAUGAAAGCAAUAACAAGUCUGUAUAUGAAAAUAUCCAGCAUAUUUAGGUCUAAAGGUACUAGUAAUUUUUCAGAUCAAAUGGCCUCAGGGCUUAUUCUGAGCAUUAGUCUCUCAUCACAUCAUCUUUCUUGAAUUUU
This is a non-coding RNA of Delphinapterus leucas (beluga whale), 3048 nucleotides long. Lineage: Eukaryota; Metazoa; Chordata; Mammalia; Artiodactyla; Monodontidae. The record is from RefSeq and is a predicted model, not a curated record.